GUAGAGGGAUUUGAAAAAUCCGUGCAAUCUCACUGCAGCCGCCGCUACAGCGAAGUAUUCCUUGUUUGUUGGCGAAUUGAUCGAGCUAUACGUCAAUUGGAGUCAUAGUGUUUCUUUAGAUUUAGACGCUUUCGUGGAAUUUAUUGUGCUAAUAUUGCAAGUGCUGGCUGGACCUUCGCUGAAGGCGUCUUCCUUGCUUGAAUUGAUAAAUUUGUAGCAAAUGAAAGGAACAUUCCACUCAAUGGCCUGGCGAUGGGCACUCAUGGUUGAGGAAACUUUCAGCGAUUCCACAACCACACAAAAGUUGUCGUUGAUCAUUUAGAUUGCCACAGCUUUCACCAAACCACAAGUCCUGCGAGCCCAGCCAGGUUGAGUCGACUAAGUGUCUAAGUCAAUGUGUUGUUAUUGAACACUUCAUUGACAGGGACAGAAGUUAACUACAUAUUCCAAGAUGCACUAGGCCCCUCUGGAGUAAAUACUCCAUACGUUUCAGCAGAUGAGUCAGAUUAUGGUGUUAUAACAAACAGUGAAGAUUUACAACUUAGCAAGGAAUAGAUUGAGUUUUUUUGCAAGGAUUUCUUCAUCUUCCAGGUAGGUAAUAAAGAAAGAUGGAUCUUUGGCCCCAAGGGUUCGAUGCCCUUUUGUAACACCUUUCGGUAAAGAAGGCCAGCUUUCUCCGAGUUACCAAAUUUGACGACCAGUUUAUCUUAUUCUCAAUAAACACUUUACAAUUUAAUAACACGAAAGAUCGUCUUUUUCGUGUGUAAGCGGGAUGUCGUUCAUAAAUCAUAUUCUUCUUUUUUACGUGGCCCGACCGGAACUCAUGUGUUGAUUAAAUAUAUAUAACUAGGCUACCCGGAAUGAUUUACGAUAAAUAAAAUUAUAUUUUCUCUGAUAAACUUUUGAAUAAUAACAGUUCCAAUGAAUCAUUUCUGAACAUACAACAUAGAACAGACAGAAUUACCAAUGCAAUAAAUGUAAAUUUUAGUUAAAUUAUUAAAGAUUGGUCUUCAAAGGGUCAAAUAGAUUAACUCAAUGUCAAUAAAAAAUUACUGAUAGUAAAAUCUGUUAAAAUCAUGCAAAAUACAUCUCACAUAAUUCCGCAUAUAAUUCGUCGUCACUGUCAACUUUAGAAAGAAAUCAUUAGCAUUGAUCUUGCAAGUAAUUAAUCUCGCCGCAAGAUGUCCCGUAUCCACCUCCUGUCAGCGUAAAAGUUUUUUUUUUUUUCAGAACGCACCCUGAAUCCCUUUUCUGAAUCCAAACCGUCAAGUGACGAAUCCAACGAAUCCGAAUCCGGAUUCUUCACUUGACGUGCCCCAGAAGGGUUUCCAUUUCACAGCAGCUGAGAUCAGUGUUGGAGAUGAUGGUUCGGAACAACCCAUGGAAAGCUUAUCACUCAUUGAUGCUGUGAUGCCUGAUGUUGCAAGUCGUCAACAGCAAAUACAGAACAAUCAGAAAGCACAAGUGGUAAAGACAGAACCACCAAAUUCCAAUGGAGAUGAACCCAUGCAUUCCUAUCCCAACCCCUAUGAAUGCCGGGAAGAGGAAACAGGAGUAGAGAUACCUGCCAGCAAAUCAACUGUACUUCGUGGCCAUGAAUCUGAAAUUUUCAUCUGCGCUUGGAACCCAACAACUGAUUUAUUGGCUUCUGGCUCUGGCGAUAGUACUGCCAGAAUUUGGAACAUGAAUGACAACUCGUCUUCACCAACUCAACUUGUUCUUAGGCAUUGCAUUCAGAAGGGUGGAACUGAAGUUCCGAGCAACAAAGGCGUAAACUACUUGCUUGUAAUAAACAACUGUCCAUUUUGCCGAAA
This 1814-nucleotide long non-coding RNA is filed under the name Daphnia pulex (common water flea). RNAcentral describes it as "uncharacterized LOC124204264, transcript variant X4". The record is from RNAcentral. Lineage: Eukaryota; Metazoa; Arthropoda; Branchiopoda; Diplostraca; Daphniidae.